GAUGAACGCUAGCGGCAAGCUUAAUACAUGCAAGUCGAGGGGCAGCACGGGAGCAAUCCUGGUGGCGACCGGCAAACGGGUGCGGAACACGUACGCAACCUUCCCAUAACUGGUGAAUAGCCUUUCGAAAGAGAGAUUAAUACACCGUAACAUAAUGAAGUGGCAUCACUUUAUUAUUAUAGGCAGCAAUGUCGGUUUUGGUAGUGGGCGGUGCGCCUGAUUAGGUA
This 227-nucleotide ribosomal RNA is filed under the name uncultured bacterium. RNAcentral's name for it is "partial 16S ribosomal RNA". It matches the Rfam family "Bacterial small subunit ribosomal RNA", at positions 28 to 247 of the family's 1533-position model. The record is from RNAcentral.